This 29-nucleotide non-coding RNA is filed under the name Mus musculus (house mouse). Lineage: Eukaryota; Metazoa; Chordata; Mammalia; Rodentia; Muridae. The record is from RNAcentral.
UACGUUGUCUCCGGUGACUUGAGCGUGCG